CUGAUGGCGGCGUCUGGGUGGAAAUCGGAAUCAAUCGCCCAAUUCCCCUUCGCACCGGAGAAAAGUUCCCGGUAGGGCAGCGCCUAAGUGUCAG
RNAcentral lists this non-coding RNA (94 nucleotides) under unclassified sequences. RNAcentral describes it as "L4-Archaeoglobi ribosomal protein leader". It matches the Rfam family "L4-Archaeoglobi ribosomal protein leades". The record is from RNAcentral.